UGAGCAAUCUGCCCUUCUCUUCGGAAUAAGCGUUGGAAACGACGUCUAAUGCCGAAUACGACCUCCUUUCGCAUGAUCGGAGGUGGAAAGCUCCGGCGGAGAAGGAUGAGCUCGCGGCCUAUCAGCUAGUUGGUGUGGGUAACGGCCCACCAAGGCGACGACGGGUAGCCGGCCCGAGAGGGUGACCGGCCACACUGGGACUGAGACACGGCCCAGACUCCUACGGGAGGCAGNAGU
Molecule: ribosomal RNA, 237 nt
Filed under: uncultured bacterium
Lineage: Bacteria
Description: partial 16S ribosomal RNA
Rfam family: Bacterial small subunit ribosomal RNA
Source: RNAcentral